RNAcentral lists this ribosomal RNA (421 nucleotides) under uncultured bacterium. RNAcentral's name for it is "bacterial SSU rRNA". It matches the Rfam family "Bacterial small subunit ribosomal RNA", at positions 355 to 775 of the family's 1533-position model. The record is from RNAcentral.
UAAGGAAUAUUGGUCAAUGGGCGCAAGCCUGAACCAGCCAUGCCGCGUGCAGGAAGACGGCCCUAUGGGUUGUAAACUGCUUUUAUCAGGGAAUAAACCCCCGCUCGUGAGCGGGGCUGAAGGUACCUGAAGAAUAAGCAUCGGCUAACUCCGUGCCAGCAGCCGCGGUAAUACGGAGGAUGCAAGCGUUAUCCGGAUUCAUUGGGUUUAAAGGGUGCGCAGGCGGAUUGGUAAGUCAGGGGUGAAAUCCCACAGCUCAACUGUGGAACUGCCUUUGAUACUGUCAGUCUAGAGUAUAGUUGAAGUGCGGAAUGUGUCAUGUAGCGGUGAAAUGCUUAGAUAUGACACAGAACACCGAUCGCGAAGGCAGCUCGCUAAGCUAUAACUGACGCUCAUGCACGAAAGCGUGGGGAUCAAACAG